This 1177-nucleotide long non-coding RNA is filed under the name Mus spicilegus (steppe mouse). RNAcentral's name for it is "lncRNA (ENSMSIG00000013433.1)". Lineage: Eukaryota; Metazoa; Chordata; Mammalia; Rodentia; Muridae. The record is from RNAcentral.
GUGAACCCCGAGUUCGCUAAAGAUUUUAUUGAGCCCUGGGGUGGGGGUGGGGGGUUCUUACUGUGAUAAAACUCCAUGGCCAAAAGCAACAUAAGGAGGAAAGGGUUUAGUUCACCUUACCGAGAAUCCAUCACCAAAGGAAGCCAAGCAGAAACCUGAAGCAGAAACUGGAACAGAAGCCGUGGAGAAACGCUCCUUACGGACUUGCUCUCCAUGGCUUGCUCAGCCUGCUGUCUUAUACCAACCACGCAGGGCUAUUUAUCCAGGGGUGGAAGCACAAUGGGCUGGGCCUUCCCCAUCAAUCACUAAUUAAGAAAAUGCACUGUAGACCUGCCUACAAGCCAAUCUGAUGGAGGCAUGUUCUCAAUGAGAGUCCCUCUUCCCGAAUGACUCUAGCUUGUGUCAAGCUGACAUAAUACUAGCCAGCACAGAUACCUCCAUGCCAAGCUCUGGGUUAAAUAUUAGAGCUAGUAGGUUUAAAAUUAAACCAGGGUGCAGGCCCAGGAAGUGGAGUCUGGGUAGACAUUAAGGUCUCAGAAGUGCCUAAAUCUUCCCCACAAAGGACAGAGGGAACUGAGAGACAAAAACCAGAAGCCGAGAAGCCACCUCUCAUGCCCAGACGCCACAGGAAGAAGAACCAACAGCUCUCCUCAGGCCUGUCUGACUUCAGUCACAGACAGCCUGUGGCAGCAAACUGGUCCCAGUUCUAGACAAGCAGGCUUCCACGAGGGACCAGGAAAGCACUGUUGAGGCCACUUCCCUGGUGCCUCCACUAGUCAUAUAAAUGCCAACGGGCACCAGGGCUGUAGGCAAUGUGGGUCUGCCAGUGCUGGCAGUAAUGACUGUGUUGGUGGCCUCAAGUCACAGGAGGGAGCUAGCCACCAUUUUGUGAGAAUAAGGCUGAACUGGACACUAAAUGGCUGCAGUCCUCCUGUCCUUUUGGUGUGAACCUUAGCCUUUAAUGGCUGAACCAUCUCUUUAGACUGCAGCUGCUGUCUUCCAUAGCUCCUUGUAGCAGGAGUUGAAGUGUCUUUGCUCAAUCCCAUGUCUGACUUGGCCUUGCUCAGUUCCAAGCCCGGGGUUCAAGAAGUCUUGUAGCUAGCUUUUGCACUUACAUCUUUGGCAAUGGAAAGAAGCCUGAGAGAGACCCAGGCUGUUGAAUGGGGCACAUGUGAUC